GAUGAACGCUGGCGGCGUGCCUAAUACAUGCAAGUCGAGCGAACAGACGAGGGGCUUGCUCCUCUGACGUUAGCGGCGGACGGGUGAGUAACACGUGGAUAACCUACCUAUAAGACUGGGAUAACUUCGGGAAACCGGAGCUAAUACCGGGUAAUAUAUUGAACCGCAUGGUUCAAUAGUGAAAGACGGUUUUGCUGUCACUUAUAGAUGGAUCCGCGCCGCAUUAGCUAGUUGGUAAGGUAACGGCUUACCAAGGCGACGAUGCGUAGCCGACCUGAGAGGGUGAUCGGCCACACUGGAACUGAGACACGGUCCAGACUCCUACGGGAGGCAGCAGUAGGGAAUCUUCCGCAAUGGGCGAAAGCCUGACGGAGCAACGCCGCGUGAGUGAUGAAGGUCUUCGGAUCGUAAAACUCUGUUAUUAGGGAAGAACAAAUGUGUAAGUAACUAUGCACGUCUUGACGGUACCUAAUCAGAAAGCCACGGCUAACUACGUG
RNAcentral lists this ribosomal RNA (497 nucleotides) under uncultured bacterium. RNAcentral describes it as "partial 16S ribosomal RNA". It matches the Rfam family "Bacterial small subunit ribosomal RNA", at positions 28 to 507 of the family's 1533-position model. The record is from RNAcentral.